RNAcentral lists this ribosomal RNA (354 nucleotides) under Chroococcidiopsis sp. MKC.30. RNAcentral's name for it is "bacterial SSU rRNA". It matches the Rfam family "Bacterial small subunit ribosomal RNA", at positions 355 to 723 of the family's 1533-position model. Lineage: Bacteria; Bacillati; Cyanobacteriota; Cyanophyceae; Chroococcidiopsidales; Chroococcidiopsidaceae. The record is from RNAcentral.
UGGGGAAUUUUCCGCAAUGGGCGAAAGCCUGAUGGAGCAAUGCCGCGUGGAGGAAGAAGGCCUGUGGGUUGUAAACUCCUUUUGUCAGGAAAGAAGAUCUGACGGUACCUGAGGAAUAAGCUCCGGCUAACUAUGUGCCAGCAGCCGCGGUAAUACAUAGGGAGCAAGCGUUAUCCGGAAUGAUUGGGCGUAAAGCGUCUGUAGGUGGUUCGAAAAGUCUACUGUCAAAUACGUUGGCUCAACCAACGGCAGGCAUUAGAGUACUAUUGAACUAGAGUAUGGUAGAGGUAGAGGGAAUCCCUAGCGUAACAGUGAAAUGUGUAGAUUUUAGGGAGAACUCCAGCGGCGAAGGCG